Drosophila ficusphila is the source of this 298-nucleotide long non-coding RNA. RefSeq lists it as uncharacterized. NCBI's taxonomy places the organism in Eukaryota, Metazoa, Arthropoda, Insecta, Diptera, Drosophilidae. The transcript is spliced from 3 exons. The record is from RefSeq and is a predicted model, not a curated record.
UCCGGUUAAUUCUAAAAACAAGAACUGAUUUUAUACUAUUGGUGAUUAUAUAUUGCAAGGGGAAUUUUUUGGUGGUUCUACCGAAAAUGGGCAAGGCCGAAACCGAAUUCUGGCUUUCAUUUCGGAGUGGUGGCUCUAUCGCCACCCAAAGCGAGGUCUAGUGAUAAGACUAAGCAACAACGACGACUUCCCGUGCCGCAGAGCAGCAAUAAAGCUUUGCUGCUCCGUUAUCAAUUCGUCUCCCGGAAUAUGGCCAAGUUUAUCUGGGGACGCGACUUAUCUAAUUUGCUUUGGCAGG